UCAUGGAGACAGACUGUGUUUGGAGAUAGACAGAGGGAGAAAUGAUGAAAUGUCUGUAUAUUUAUCAUGGCCUUUUCAACUGCACAUCAUAGAAAUCCACCAACCCUCCCCUCAAAAAUAAUACAUUUCCAUACAAGAGGAAAUCAGACUGAAGGCCUGUGACAACCCAAAGUCAAGCAAGUCUAUUGGUGACAUUUUUUCCAACAGCGUCUGCUUGUUUUCUGUCUCCAUGUCAGUUUGGGAAGGUCAUAGAAGAUACUAGGACUUUCACCUCGCCCCCUCUUUUCGAUUGAUUCUCCGGGGGAAGCCAGCCACCAUGUUGUAAGGAUGUGCAAGCAGCUGCCUGGAAAAUCCACACGGCAAGGAACUGAGGCCUCCUGUUGACAGCAAGCACACCUUGCCAGCCGUGCGAAUGAAAGGCCCUGGAACUGGAUCCUCCAGCUCCAGACAAGUCUUCAGAUGAGUCUACAGCCCCAGGUGACUCCCUGACCCUGAGCCAGACCCCUCUGGCUAAGCACCUCCCGGAUUUCUGACUCAGUGGAGG
Odocoileus virginianus texanus is the source of this 544-nucleotide long non-coding RNA. RefSeq lists it as uncharacterized. The record is from RefSeq and is a predicted model, not a curated record. NCBI's taxonomy places the organism in Eukaryota, Metazoa, Chordata, Mammalia, Artiodactyla, Cervidae.